UGCUAAGUGUGAAGCGGCUCCCUUAG
RNAcentral lists this non-coding RNA (26 nucleotides) under Rattus norvegicus (Norway rat). Lineage: Eukaryota; Metazoa; Chordata; Mammalia; Rodentia; Muridae. The record is from RNAcentral.